GGUUAGGGUUGGUCAAAAAUGGCGGCAAGAAGCAAUAGCAGUCCAACAAUGUCAUCAGACAGAACUUCGGCUUCUCCGGAACAAAAAUCAUUCCAAGGCCGCGAGAAGAUCGUCACAGAUUCCAUUCAUCAACGAAUGAAGCCACCGCAGGUGUUCUGCGAAAUCUGCAAGUGCCAUAUUGCCGGGACUUUUCUUGAAAUUAAAAAGCACUUCAAACCCACUCACAAAUCAAUCGUUACCUGUCACUCCUGCAACGGAAAGGUCUUCAGUUACGUCGAAACCAAGUACGACGUCGAUGGGUGUCCUACGAUGGAGGAGCACAACUUCCACGACUGCCCGAAUAAGGCCAAGCCCCGAGACGAGAAUUCCAAUAGUUAAGAAAUUUAUGAUCGUUGAACGAGGAAAGAUUAUAAAACUAUUUUAUUAGAUUUUUUAAGAGAAAACGGUUUUUUGACAUCGUGUCAAGAACCUGGAGAGAUUGACAAAAUCUAUAUUGCCUUACUUUUAAGGUAUUUGCCAAGAGAAAGCUACCAAAAAAUUAUUCCCUGUGAAGUUGUGGAAAACAAUUGUACAUGACUUAAUUUAUUGUAUUCUCGGAAAUUAUUGGAUUUUUUAUUCUCAUAAUAAUAAUAUAUUGUUAGUCAAUUUUUGAUAGAUAAUUUAUGAGCAGUCAAUGGUCCACCGUAAAAAUGAUUUUUAUAGAAUUAUGAACAAAUUUAUCCACACGAUUUACUAGAAAUUGAUUUCAUGCCCAAAAACUGAGAUUUCAAAAUUUCUUAAAGGGUAAACAAUUUCAGUUAUUUAUCAGCGAAUUUAAGAAAAAUCAUGAUUAUGCGCAAAAUUUGAAUGACCCUAAAUAUUCUUUGUUGGUUUUUUUCAAAUUUCGGUCUCGCAAGUUUAUGAACAAGUUUGACGAUUUUUUAGUUAAUCAAAAAAAUAUAUAAUUUUUGAUAAUUAGGCACGAAUAUUUUAUGAAUAACUAAUAAGUUGUAAUGCAUUAGGACCAAUACAUAAAUUAAUUAAAUCGAUUAAUUGAUUUAAUUUGGUCAAUGUCUGGAUAUUGAUGGGAAUGACAGUGGAUGAUGGGAAUGAGAAACUUUAUUUUUCUUUUCUGUCAUCCCGGUUUUAAAACUGCUCAAGUGGUUUCUUCAAUCGUUCAAACUGUCUUCAUUCUAAACCUGAUUUCCCAAGUCUCGAAUUAACUCUCUCUCUCCACGCUCUCUACGAUAUAGCAAGAUAUUCUAUUGUAUUGAGACUUAUAAUUUCAUUACUCCUAAGUAAGUGUAAGUGUUUUCUACUUUAUGUAUCCCUGGAAUAUUUAUUGUGGUUGAAAUUGUAUUAAUUUUGAUUUUUUUAUACGAACUUCUCUCAUUAAGGGCUGCAAGUCUCACUAUUGAUUUUUAUUUGAUUAAAGUCAUUGCAUAUAUAUAUACGUUCAAGAGAGGGAGUGGAUAUUCAAACAAACAAGUUACACAGUAGUUUCACACAUUUUUAAUUUUGCAUUAAACAAAUGGAAACAAAUAUCAUUCCAGAUAAUCCAUCCAAUAAAAAUCAUUCCUAAGAUUUCAAAAUUUUGUGAUCAAAUGUAGAUUAAUAAGAGCUUUACAUUAUUUUCUCCAUUCGUGCCGUGAAGAAAGGGUCGGACUAGAGCUGAAGAGCAAAAUUCAAAAUUUGCAAUAUUUAUUUUAUUUUUCAAAAUGUAAAUUUCUUUUUGUUAUUAGAUCACCCCCUUCAAGGCAAACGAGAAGAUAUUUUCACAGUUAUGAAUUAUCCUUCGAAAUAUCAGAAAUGAAAUAUUAGUUCUUUCAUUAAAAAAACGAAAUUUUUAAUUUUCAAUCGAUUUCAUACCAUAAUAAGAGAACUUGAAUUUUAUUUACAUGAAAGAUACUCUUAAGGAUCAAGUUCCAGGGAAAUUAUGAUAUAUUUAUUCGAGAAAGAGUGAAUAAUUGAACAAAUGUCAUAAAAAGAAGUCUUGUAAUUUCGUAAUUUUAUAUUAAAUAAAUAAAUAAGAAUAUCAUUCCA
Diachasmimorpha longicaudata is the source of this 2022-nucleotide long non-coding RNA. RefSeq lists it as uncharacterized. The record is from RefSeq and is a predicted model, not a curated record. The transcript has 2 exons. NCBI's taxonomy places the organism in Eukaryota, Metazoa, Arthropoda, Insecta, Hymenoptera, Braconidae.